GACGAACGCUGGCGGCGUGCCUAAUACAUGCAAGUCGAGCGGACUUUCAUUGUUGCUUGCACCUUUGAAAGUUAGCGGCGGACGGGUGAGUAACACGUGGGUAACCUACCCUGUAGAUUGGGAUAACUCCGGGAAACCGGGGCUAAUACCGAAUAACACUUUUGAACUCAUGUUCGAAAGUUAAAAGAUGGUUUCGGCUAUCACUACAGGAUGGGCCCGCGGGGCAUUAGCUAGUUGGUGAGGUAACGGCUCACCAAGGCAACGAUGCGUAGCCGACCUGAGAGGGUGAUCGGCCACACUGGGACUGAGACACGGCCCAGACUACUACGGGAGGCAGCAGUAGGGAAUCUUCCACAAUGGACGAAAGUCUGAUGGAGCAACGCCGCGUGAGUGAAGAAGGAUUUCGGUUCGUAAGACUCUGCUGCAAGGGAAGAACAAGUAGCGUAGUAACUGGCGCUACCUUGACGGUACCUUGUUAGAAAGCCACGGCUAACUACGUGCCAGCCGCCGCUGUAA
RNAcentral lists this ribosomal RNA (516 nucleotides) under uncultured bacterium. RNAcentral's name for it is "partial 16S ribosomal RNA". It matches the Rfam family "Bacterial small subunit ribosomal RNA", at positions 28 to 523 of the family's 1533-position model. The record is from RNAcentral.